UGUUGAUCUAAGUGAAGAAUAUCUAUAUCCUCUUCGUCGCCCUUCUCUCUGACUCUCUCUCUCUCUCAUUCUUGGGAACUUUGUCGAUCGAUCUGGUCGAGUUUGCUCGCUCAUCUUCUCCACAGCCCAUUUCGGAUCCUCCGAUUUUAGAAUUUCCGGGAAAAUCUGGGUUUGGCUCGCGAAAUCGUGGCAUUUAAGGAGCGAAGAUGAGGUCAGUUCAUGCACCUGUUGUUUGCCCGGCUGUUCGUCCCAGACAAAUGAAUGCCUGUACUUCGCUUGUUAGCUACUCUGCCUCAAACACUAAGUUUCUUAGAAGCCGAUUCUUGGGCAGCCCUGCAAAAGUUGUCAAGGCCCGGGCUUCCACCGUCCAUCUAAGGUUGCAUCUUCGUCGAUGCAAGAGUAUACAGUGUGUUUUCAGUUCACAUUCUGACGGUUCUGGGAGUACUGCUGAGAAUUUCAACGAAAAUAAUGAAGAGUAUGUUAACUCUAGUGUGGUGGAAGCCGUUGAGGUGAGGAGUGGAGCUGAUGGUUUCAUGGUAAAGAUGAGGGAUGGCAGGCAUUUACGCUGUGUCCAUAACAAUCCUCAAGGAGGGCAUCUACCAGAUUAUGCUCCACACCCUGCAAUUGUUUUGAAAAUGGAAGAUGGAACCGGUCUUCUCCUUCCAAUUAUCGUGUUGGAGAUGCCGAGUGUGUUGCUUAUGGCAGCUUUGACGAAUCUCCAAAUCGCAAGGCCUACUAUGUAUCAGGUGGUGAAGGAGAUGGUUGACAAGAUGGGUUAUGAAGUUAAACUUGUUAGAGUCACCAAAAGAGUUCAGGAGGCAUACUUCGCACAGUUGUUCCUUUCAAAGGUUGGUAAUGAAUCCGAUUGCAUCAGCUUUGAUCUCCGGCCUUCAGAUGCUAUCAAUAUUGCCGUGAGAUGCAAGGUACCUAUCCAAGUUAACAAGUACUUAGCAUAUAGUGAUGGGAUGCGUAUUAUCGAAUCAGGGAAGCUCAAUACACAAGCACCUGCUUCCGAUGGGUUAUUAUUUACUGAAUUGGACCGUCCUACUUCUCAGCCUUGUCUAGAUACAAAAGAGUUUAAUCUUUUGAGGAACAUGAUGGAAGCUGUUGAUGAAGAACGAUAUGACGAAGCUGUGUGGAGAUGGGUGUCAAAUCAGAAACGUUUUUCUGAAGUUUUUACCUGUAAAGCUGGGUAUUGAUCAGUGACUAUAAGCUGAGUGGAGAGACAAGCUUGGACAGCUUCGGGCGAAACGGAACUUGAGGAAAUAUACAUGAGAGAGCUUGAAGAAGGUAGCUAUUGUACAUAAUAAUAAUAGUCAAGAAGCCAUUUGUGGGGGGAGAGGCUUGGAACAAGUGAAGGAGAACAGGAGAUGCUCUCUCGAACUUCUACACUUGUUUGCCUUAGUGAAACAAGAAGAAAAACAAUGACUGUAUGUCAUGUGUGUGUAUGUAUGUGUCACUUGUUAAUAUAUGUUUGGACUUUAAACACGAUUAGUGCGUUCUUUAUCUCUAAUUAAUUAAGAACAGAUUAAGAAUUAA
This is an RNA transcript of Tarenaya hassleriana, 1539 nucleotides long. It is a transcript of the gene named bifunctional nuclease 1-like, with no coding region annotated. The record is from RefSeq and is a predicted model, not a curated record. The transcript is spliced from 12 exons. NCBI's taxonomy places the organism in Eukaryota, Viridiplantae, Streptophyta, Magnoliopsida, Brassicales, Cleomaceae.